UGUUAUUAUGUUCUGAUAUUGUACUAUGUCAACGAUGAGUGUGUAUAAUGAAAACUUGAUGCGCUAGCUGUUUUAAAUUACAAGCUAACGAAAAUAAUAACAUUUCUUUUUACAAGUUCCCACAAGAUGAAACUCUCCGAAAGAUAAUUCUCCACGAUGUAACGGAAAUUUUUUAGACUUUUAAAUCAAUGGAAACUAAAUUUUAAAUGUUUCUCAGUUAUUCAAGUCAUUGGACAUCAAACAUGAAAGUUUUAAGAAUCAAUACCAAUUCUGAUAAUGAAACUUAAACUCCAACCUCAAUGAUGGGAAACGAGCUAAAUCAAGAUUCAUGGAGUGUAUCUGAUUACGCAAAUAAUGUUGUAUAAAUUGCUAGCAAAAGUAUCAAAGCAUUGUGAGUGUGACAUAUGCUGAGAGAGUCUAAUCCAAAAUCAGGUUUUUUGGGCUUGUAGAGAAUAAAAGAUCAAGGAGGAUUAUUUUCAGUUUUGGAGGACGUGGUAAAACAUGUAUGAAAAAAUUUUCUUUUUUUAUUGUCGAGCUCAUUAUUACUAUAUUAGUUAGUUUUCUGUCCACAUUUAUGAUAACGAUAAUCAUGUAUUUGAACAAACCAUCUUAUCGGAUCAUAAAAUGCAGCUUUUAAAGCUCAUGUUAAAAAAAUAUUUAAUAAAAUAUCAGAUUAUACCACGGAGGAGCAUUUAAGCAUAAUUCAAUUUAGUGACUUACAAGCAAGUAUAAUAAUAUUAUUUUUAAGAUUUCGUUAAUUUGAUUUAAUAUUCUGUCUAUAAAGUUGCAUAAUUACAGUAUGCAUGUAUUCAUUGCACUAUUUAAAAAAAAUUAGGUUUCAAAAAAAGCCGUCUCUAGUUAUUAAAUGUAUUACAGAUAGUGUGUGUGUGUGUGCAUAAAUACAUGAUGUAUUGUAAAUUUUUUAUUCUUUCGGUCUUAUUAGAGCUGUAGAAAGGAAAUUAGGAAAUUUGAAAGAUAUCAACAACUGAUAAGGUUGAGUUGCCGCCUACCGAGCUCUUUAAGUUCUGUACCAUUAUUCGUACACAGGUACUUCCCUUACUGCGAAACUAGUCUAUGCAGAGAGAAAUAAAACAUAGUUUCUCUAUUCUCUGUCUCUCUCAGUCCACUUUUAUCACUUUUAUUACAGCUUCAUGACUGUAUUCAAAAUCUGUAUAUAGAAGAUCCAUGCCACGAACAGAUGUAAUACUUAACAUGGUAAAAAAUAAAAAUUAUUCCUUUAUUACAUUUUAUUAAGAAAA
RNAcentral lists this long non-coding RNA (1259 nucleotides) under Polistes fuscatus (common paper wasp). RNAcentral's name for it is "uncharacterized LOC122521654". The record is from RNAcentral. Lineage: Eukaryota; Metazoa; Arthropoda; Insecta; Hymenoptera; Vespidae.